Molecule: microRNA precursor, 94 nt
Filed under: Canis lupus familiaris (dog)
Lineage: Eukaryota; Metazoa; Chordata; Mammalia; Carnivora; Canidae
Also listed under: 1 other name
Description: mir-8799 microRNA precursor family
Rfam family: mir-8799 microRNA precursor family
Source: Rfam by way of RNAcentral
CGGGGGUUGCCGGAUCUUGGGCUGUGUCUCCCAGUUCUCUGUGCUCCGGGGCCUGCACCGCUGGAAUCGUCCUCCCGUGGCUGUACAGCCCCCU